GAUGAAGAACGCAGCGAAAUGCGAUAAGUAGUGUGAGUUGCAGAAUUCAGUGAAUCAUCGAAUCUUUGAACGCGCAUUGCGCCCUUUGGUAUUCCUUAGGGCAUGCCUGUUCGAGCGUCAUUUAAACCUUCAAGCUAAGCUUGGUGUUGGGUGACUGUCCGCUUCACGGCGGACUCGCCUCAAAAUUAUUGGCGGCCGGUACAUUGGCUUCGAGCGCAGCAGAAACGCGAACUCGGGCCCGUCGUAUUGGCUCCCAGAAGCUAUCUUCACAAUUUUGACCUCGGAUCAGGUAGGGAUACCCGCUGAACUUAAGCAUAUCAAUAAGCGGAGGA
RNAcentral lists this unclassified non-coding RNA (332 nucleotides) under soil metagenome. RNAcentral describes it as "partial contains 5.8S ribosomal RNA, internal transcribed spacer 2, and large subunit ribosomal RNA". The stretch from base 1 to 120 matches the Rfam family "5.8S ribosomal RNA", at positions 35 to 154 of the family's 154-position model. The record is from RNAcentral.